Molecule: transfer RNA, 75 nt
Filed under: Flavilitoribacter nigricans DSM 23189 = NBRC 102662
Lineage: Bacteria; Pseudomonadati; Bacteroidota; Saprospiria; Saprospirales; Lewinellaceae
Description: Lewinella nigricans DSM 23189 = NBRC 102662 tRNA-Arg
Rfam family: tRNA
About the family: Transfer RNA (tRNA) molecules are approximately 80 nucleotides in length.
Source: RNAcentral
GGUCUCGUAGUACAACGGAUAGUAUACAGGUUUCCGGAGCCUGGGAUCUAGGUUCGAUUCCUAGCGAGACCACCG